Molecule: ribosomal RNA, 424 nt
Filed under: uncultured bacterium
Lineage: Bacteria
Description: partial 16S ribosomal RNA
Rfam family: Bacterial small subunit ribosomal RNA
Source: RNAcentral
AAUAUUGGACAAUGGGGGCAACGCUGAUCCAGCCAUGCCGCGUGUGUGAAGAAGGUCAUCGGAUUGUAAAGCACUUUAAGUUGGGAGGAAGGGCUUUAGGCUAAUACCCUGUAGUUUUGACGUUACCACCAGAAUAAGCACUGUCUAACUCUGUGCCAGCAGCCGCGGUAAUACAGAGGGUGCAAGCGUUAAUCGGAAUUACUGGGCGUAAAGCGAGCGUAGGUGGUUCAGUAAGAUGGGUGUGAAAUCCCCGGGCUUAACCUGGGAACUGCUUUCAUAACUGCUGAGCUAGAGGACGGUAGAGGGUAGUGGAAUUUCCUGUGUAGCGGUGAAAUGCGUAGAUAUAGGAAGGAACAUCAGUGGCGAAGGCGACUACCUGGACUGAUACUGACACUGAGGUGCGAAAGCGUGGGGAGCAAACAGG